Molecule: long non-coding RNA, 274 nt
Filed under: Oryza sativa (Asian cultivated rice)
Lineage: Eukaryota; Viridiplantae; Streptophyta; Magnoliopsida; Poales; Poaceae
Description: long non-coding RNA (OSAT_LNC001601)
Source: RNAcentral
UGAACACAUUGAUUGAAUAUGUGUUCCCCUCGCUUGAUGACGAGAGAAAUACGACCUCCGUGGAAUAUAUGAGCACACGGGCCAUCCUCUCAACAAAAAAUGAUUUCGUGGAUAAGCUGAACACGAAGAUGAUUGAUAGGUUUCCUGGAAAGGAAAAGAUUUACCUCAGCUUUGAUUCAGUCGAUGAUGAUCCCCAAAAUAGCUACUCUUUGGACUUUCUGAACACGAUCACUCCAAAUGGCCUCCCUCCACAUGAGCUUAAAGUGAAGGUCAA